This 915-nucleotide ribosomal RNA is filed under the name uncultured bacterium. RNAcentral's name for it is "bacterial SSU rRNA". It matches the Rfam family "Bacterial small subunit ribosomal RNA", at positions 10 to 923 of the family's 1533-position model. The record is from RNAcentral.
AGUUUGAUCCUGGCUCAGGAUGAACGCUGGCGGCGUGCCUAAUACAUGCAAGUCGAACGAAUCUCUUUUAGAGAUGAGUGGCGAACGGGUGAGUAAUACAUAGGUAACCUGCCCCUGUGCGGGGGAUAACAGGAGGAAACUCCUGCUAAUACCGCAUAGCCAUGAGCACCGCAUGGAGCUCAUGCCAAAUAUCCUUUAUGGGAUAGCGCAGGGAUGGACCUAUGGCGCAUUAGCUGGUUGGCGGGGCAACGGCCCACCAAGGCAACGAUGCGUAGCCGGCCUGAGAGGGCGGACGGCCACAUUGGGACUGAGACACGGCCCAGACUCCUACGGGAGGCAGCAGUAGGGAAUUUUCGGCAAUGGGGGAAACCCUGACCGAGCAACGCCGCGUGAGCGAAGAAGGCCUUCGGGUCGUAAAGCUCUGUUGUAAAGGAAGAACGGCGCAUACAGGAAAUGGUAUGCGAGUGACGGUACUUUACCAGAAAGCCACGGCUAACUACGUGCCAGCAGCCGCGGUAAUACGUAGGUGGCGAGCGUUAUCCGGAAUCAUUGGGCGUAAAGAGGGAGCAGGCGGCCGCAAGGGUCUGUGGUGAAAGACCGAAGCUAAACUUCGGUAAGCCAUGGAAACCGGGCGGCUAGAGUGCGGAAGAGGAUCGUGGAAUUCCAUGUGUAGCGGUGAAAUGCGUAGAUAUAUGGAGGAACACCAGUGGCGAAGGCGACGGUCUGGGCCGCAACUGACGCUCAUUCCCGAAAGCGUGGGGAGCAAAUAGGAUUAGAUACCCUAGUAGUCCACGCCGUAAACGAUGGUCACUAAGUGUCGGGGGUCAAACCCCGGUGCUGCAGUCAACGCAAUAAGUGACCCGCCUGAGUAGUACGUUCGCAAGAAUGAAACUCAAAUGAAUUGACGGAAGGGCG